UACGUAGGGGGCAAGCGUUGUCCGGAGUUACUGGGCGUAAAGCGCACGCAGGCGGUCGAUUAAGUUUGGAGUGACAGUUGGUGGCUUAACUGCCAAAGUGCUUCGAAAACUGAUCGACUUGAGGGCUUCAGAGGGACACGGAAUUCCGGGUAGAGUGGUGAAAUGCGUAGAGAUCCGGAGGAACACCGAAGGCGAAGGCAGUGUCCUGGGGAGUACCUGACGCUCAGGUGCGAAAGCGUGGGGAGCAAACAGG
RNAcentral lists this ribosomal RNA (253 nucleotides) under uncultured bacterium. RNAcentral's name for it is "partial 16S ribosomal RNA". It matches the Rfam family "Bacterial small subunit ribosomal RNA", at positions 524 to 776 of the family's 1533-position model. The record is from RNAcentral.